This 236-nucleotide long non-coding RNA is filed under the name Elaeis guineensis (African oil palm). RNAcentral describes it as "long non-coding RNA (EGUI_LNC017735)". The record is from RNAcentral. Lineage: Eukaryota; Viridiplantae; Streptophyta; Magnoliopsida; Arecales; Arecaceae.
GCACAAGGCCCUAACCUGAAGAGCCUCGUAAGUUUUGUCUAAAUCCAACCCAAAGAAAACUCGGACACUAGUACGGUAAUUAGUCAUUUGCGUCAAUAAAAGCUUACAAAUAUUAUUGUGCUUUCGCAUGUAUGCCAUUUAUUUGUUUCCAUAUCAGAAUCAAAGCAACAGUUCACAAGCAUCUUAGAGCUUACCAGUUAAUGAGAUUUAGCGUCUGAGGCAUUAUCCCGAGAGAG